Long non-coding RNA from Procambarus clarkii (red swamp crayfish), 550 nucleotides. RefSeq lists it as uncharacterized. NCBI's taxonomy places the organism in Eukaryota, Metazoa, Arthropoda, Malacostraca, Decapoda, Cambaridae. The record is from RefSeq and is a predicted model, not a curated record.
GCCACAGCGAGGAGCAGUCUGUAGUCCGGUCAUCAUCAGUCCCUAGGACCCACCUUCAUGGAGAGGCGAAUAGCAAAGCAAAACUUGGCAGCGGUUUACCGUUCCCAAAUUGUGUGGAUGUGGGUUUGUGGCCUAAAAGCUCGAGAAAUAUCCCUGGAGGUGGGAGUGAGCCUCACCACAGUAUACCGGUGGAUCCGACGGUGGCAGAUGGAAGGGACAGUGAGAAGACGUCCAUACGGUGGUGGGAGGUUCCAGACCUGCUGUGGAGACGGUACCCAGGUGACCUCGGCCGGACCUGCACAGCCUUUCAGAACAUAUGUUUGGGACUCACUCUAAUCCCGUAUCAGGAUUCCUAAUCUCCAGCCUAACUUUAAUCCUGUACCUUAAAGUUACUCACAGUUCGCCCGCACAGAAGUAAUGAUAAUAAUACGGAAGUGUGUUAUAUGUUUAUGGGUAAGUUUUAUUCCAAGAACUGCAAGUGGUUUUAGGUAGGAACGGGAUCAGAGGGAAUCUGUUUUAUCUUGUUUGGAAAAUAAACUCGUUGAGAGAA